AACGCUUCUUUCCUCCCGGAGUGCUUGCACUCAACUGGAAAGAGGAGUGGCGGACGGGUGAGUAACACGUGGGUAACCUACCCAUCAGAGGGGGAUAACACUUGGAAACAGGUGCUAAUACCGCAUAACAGUUUAUGCCGCAUGGCAUAAGAGUGAAAGGCGCUUUCGGGUGUCGCUGAUGGAUGGACUCGCGGUGCAUUAGCCAGUUGGUGAGGUAACGGCUCACCAAGGCCACGAUGCAUAGCCGACCUGAGAGGGUGAUCGGCCACACUGGGACUGAGACACGGCCCAGACUCCUACGGGAGGCAGCAGUAGGGAAUCUUCGGCAAUGGACGAAAGUCUGACCGAGCAACGCCGCGUGAGUGAAGAAGGUUUUCGGAUCGUAAAACUCUGUUGUUAGAGAAGAACAAGGACGUUAGUAACUGAACGUCCCCUGACGGUAUCUAACCAGAAAGCCACGGCUAACUACGUGCCAGCAGCCGCGGUAAUACGUAGGUGGCAAGCGUUGUCCGGAUUUAUUGGGCGUAAAGCGAGCGCAGGCGGCUUCUUAAGUCUGAUGUGAAAGCCCCCGGCUCAACCGGGGAGGGUCAUUGGAAACUGGGAGACUUGAGUGCAGAAGAGGAGAGUGGAAUUCCAUGUGUAGCGGUGAAAUGCGUAGAUAUAUGGAGGAACACCAGUGGCGAAGGC
RNAcentral lists this ribosomal RNA (687 nucleotides) under uncultured Bacilli bacterium. Its description in RNAcentral is "bacterial SSU rRNA". It matches the Rfam family "Bacterial small subunit ribosomal RNA", at positions 65 to 722 of the family's 1533-position model. Lineage: Bacteria; Bacillati; Bacillota; Bacilli. The record is from RNAcentral.